GUGCUUGCUUCAGCAGCACAAACACUGAGAUUGGCAGUACGCAGAGAUUAGCUCAGGGACUGCACAAGGAUGACAUGCAACCCCAUGAAGCAUUUCAUAUUUUG
This 104-nucleotide small nuclear RNA is filed under the name Octodon degus (degu). Lineage: Eukaryota; Metazoa; Chordata; Mammalia; Rodentia; Octodontidae. The record is from RNAcentral.